RNAcentral lists this transfer RNA (73 nucleotides) under Bos taurus (domestic cattle). It matches the Rfam family "tRNA". From Rfam's summary of the family: Transfer RNA (tRNA) molecules are approximately 80 nucleotides in length. Their secondary structure includes four short double-helical elements and three loops (D, anti-codon, and T loops). RNAcentral also lists the same sequence under 4 other names. Lineage: Eukaryota; Metazoa; Chordata; Mammalia; Artiodactyla; Bovidae. The record is from Rfam by way of RNAcentral.
UACCUAGUGGCUCAGAUGGUAGAGAAUCUGCCUGCAAUGCAGGAGACCCAGGUUCGAUCUCUGGGUUGGGAAA